This 523-nucleotide unclassified non-coding RNA is filed under the name Lodderomyces metapsilosis. RNAcentral describes it as "Candida metapsilosis sequence contains 18S rRNA gene, ITS1, 5.8S rRNA gene, ITS2, 28S rRNA gene". The stretch from base 188 to 341 matches the Rfam family "5.8S ribosomal RNA". The record is from RNAcentral. Lineage: Eukaryota; Fungi; Ascomycota; Pichiomycetes; Serinales; Debaryomycetaceae.
UCCGUAGGUGAACCUGCGGAAGGAUCAUUACAGAAAUAGGAGAAGGUUGCUUAACUGCAAUCCUUUUCUUUCUACACAUGUGUUUUUCUUUUUUUUGAAAACUUUGCUUUGGUGGGCCCACGGCCUGCCAGAGAUUAAACUCAACCAAAUUUUUAUUUAAUUGUCAACUUGAUUAACUAAUAGUCAAAACUUUCAACAACGGAUCUCUUGGUUCUCGCAUCGAUGAAGAACGCAGCGAAAUGCGAUAAGUAAUAUGAAUUGCAGAUAUUCGUGAAUCAUCGAAUCUUUGAACGCACAUUGCGCCCUUUGGUAUUCCAAAGGGCAUGCCUGUUUGAGCGUCAUUUCUCCCUCAAACCUUCGGGUUUGGUGUUGAGCGAUACGCUGGGUUUGCUUGAAAGAAAGGCGGAGUAUAAACUAAUGGAUAGGUUUUUUUUUUCCACUCAUUGGUACAAACUCCAAACAUUCUUCCAAAUUCGACCUCAAAUCAGGUAGGACUACCCGCUGAACUUAAGCAUAUCAAUAA